GGAGAAAAGCAGGGGAUCGCAAGACCUUGCGCUUUUGGAGCGGCCGAUGUCUGAUUAGCUUGUUGGUAAGGUAAAAGCUUACCAAGGCUUCGAUCAGUAGCUGGUCUGAGAGGACGACCAGCCACACUGGGACUGAGACACGGCCCAGACUCCUACGGGAGGCAGCAGUGGGGAAUUUUGGACAAUGGGGGCAACCCUGAUCCAGCCAUGCCGCGUGAGUGAAGAAGGCCUUCGGGUUGUAAAGCUCUUUCAGCCGGAACGAAACGGUUACGGUUAAUACCCGUGACUACUGACGGUACCGGAAGAAGAAGCACCGGCUAACUACGUGCCAGCAGCCGCGGUAAUACGUAGGGUGCGAGCGUUAAUCGGGAUUACUGGGCGUAAAGCGUGCGCAGGUGGUUUUGUAAGUCAGAUGUGAAAUCCCCGGGCUCAACCUGGGAACUGCGUUUGAAACUACAAAGCUAG
This 465-nucleotide ribosomal RNA is filed under the name uncultured bacterium. Its description in RNAcentral is "bacterial SSU rRNA". It matches the Rfam family "Bacterial small subunit ribosomal RNA", at positions 198 to 644 of the family's 1533-position model. The record is from RNAcentral.